UAAUGAUGGUGAGGGCAUUUUUCAGAAUACUUUUAAAUCUCUCCCAAGCUUGGUAGAGAUUAUCUCCUUCUUUCUGUCUAAAACUCAGAAUCUUGCUUCUCAGACG
Molecule: small nucleolar RNA, 106 nt
Filed under: Capsicum annuum
Lineage: Eukaryota; Viridiplantae; Streptophyta; Magnoliopsida; Solanales; Solanaceae
Description: Plant small nucleolar RNA R71
Rfam family: Plant small nucleolar RNA R71
About the family: R71 is a member of the C/D box family of snoRNAs containing the C (UGAUGA) and D (CUGA) box motifs. Multiple nearly identical copies of this snoRNA have been identified in Arabidopsis, and it is thought to function as a 2'-O-ribose methylation guide for 18S ribosomal RNA.
Source: Rfam by way of RNAcentral